AACGCACAUUGCGCCCAUUAGUAUUCUAGUGGGCAUGCCUGUUCGAGCGUCAUUUCGACCAUUAAGCCUUGUUGCUUAGCGUUGGGAAUCUACUGGCCUGGCCUGUAGCUCCUCAAAGUUAGUGGCGGAGCUAGUGCAUACUCUAGGCGUAGUAAUAUAUCAUCUCGCCUUUGUAGUUGCCUUGGCGCUUGCCGUAAAACACCCAAUUUUAAUAGGUUUGACCUCGGAUCAGGUAAGAAUACCCGCUGAACUUAA
This 255-nucleotide unclassified non-coding RNA is filed under the name uncultured fungus. Its description in RNAcentral is "partial contains 5.8S ribosomal RNA, internal transcribed spacer 2, and large subunit ribosomal RNA". Lineage: Eukaryota; Fungi. The record is from RNAcentral.